Molecule: ribosomal RNA, 141 nt
Filed under: Involutiscutellula rubra
Lineage: Eukaryota; Fungi; Ascomycota; Sordariomycetes; Diaporthales; Tubakiaceae
Description: partial 18S ribosomal RNA
Rfam family: Eukaryotic small subunit ribosomal RNA
Source: RNAcentral
AUGGUUCAGUGAGGCGUUCGGACUGGCCCAGGGAGGUCGGCAACGACCACCCAGGGCCGGAAAGUUCUCCAAACUCGAUCAUUUAGAGGAAGUAAAAGUCGUAACAAGGUCUCCGUUGGUGAACCAGCGGAGGGAUCAUUG